UUUAAAGAGAGUUUGAUCCUGGCUCAGGACGAACGCUGGCGGCGUGCCUAAUACAUGCAAGUCGAACGAACGGAGGAAGAGCUUGCUCUUCCAAAGUUAGUGGCGGACGGGUGAGUAACACGUGGGCAACCUGCCUGUAAGUUGGGGAUAACUCCGGGAAACCGGGGCUAAUACCGAAUGAUAGAAUGUGGCGCAUGCCACGCUUUUGAAAGAUGGUUUCGGCUAUCGCUUACAGAUGGGCCCGCGGUGCAUUAGCUAGUUGGUAGGGUAAUGGCCUACCAAGGCAACGAUGCAUAGCCGACCUGAGAGGGUGAUCGGCCACACUGGGACUGAGACACGGCCCAGACUCCU
This 351-nucleotide ribosomal RNA is filed under the name Listeria monocytogenes. Its description in RNAcentral is "bacterial SSU rRNA". It matches the Rfam family "Bacterial small subunit ribosomal RNA", at positions 1 to 340 of the family's 1533-position model. The record is from RNAcentral. Lineage: Bacteria; Bacillati; Bacillota; Bacilli; Caryophanales; Listeriaceae.